This 330-nucleotide ribosomal RNA is filed under the name uncultured Glomeromycotina. RNAcentral describes it as "eukaryotic LSU rRNA". Lineage: Eukaryota; Fungi; Glomeromycota. The record is from RNAcentral.
CAGUCGUACCUUCGGGUAAUCAGCCUUUUGGGUGUGAUUUUGUGGAGCGUGAAGAGUUAAACGCCUUCAUGCUUGCAUAUUCGUGCACUUUGGGUGUACUUGCCCGUAUGGUUGGUUAACAUCAAUUUUGGUGGUCAUAAAAUGACUGGAGGAAUGUAGCUUCGAUCUCGUAUUGAAGUGUUAUAGCCUUCGGUAGAUGUGAUGAUCGAGAUUGAGGAUUGCAACGGAUACCCUUCGGGGCUACCUGUCUGAUCUCUGAUCGUUGCUCUGGUGCCGAAAGCUUGCUUACGGUUAUCAAAGUCGAUGGUCAAUAGGUUAGAACGGGUUAAA